AUACAGUGACCUCGGGCGGCGGGUCACGUCGGCCGGGCAUGGCUGCAUGGAGCCCGGCCGCGGCAGCGCCUCUCCUCCGCGGGAUCCGCGGGUUCUUCCACUGCGGUGACUUUCAGCGUGGACAGUGAUCAUCUGGGGAUGUCAGUUGAUUGUUCCACUAAAGGCCGCUGCCCACAGAUCCGCUAAGAUGAAAGGCUUCUCCCAAGGAUUCUGCAACGCUCACCUCUCUCACCCCUUAGUAGCUGCCGAUUCUGUCUGCCAUCUGGUUACUCUCUGCCUUUACCCUCAAGAUUCUGCCCCCAGAAGCAGCUCCACCCCACCCUCACUCCUGGCAAUCCUGUCCAGCCUCUCAACAUCGAGUUUCUGUCCCUCCACACAGCAGGCAGACAAUCACACUCUGGACCUUUCUCCUGUCUUGCAUUUCUGUCCCUAAUUGACUAGUUCUUCCCCUGCUCAUUCAUUCAUCCAGCACCAAGUGCCUCUGAGGGCCUGCCCUGGGGUCAGCUCUGGGAUGCUGCCGGACUCAUUCCUGGCCUAUAAGACCAGUGGUGAGAGAGCCAGUGCACAGCUCAUUUUAAAGGAGGUGCUCUGAGAUUCUGUGACACAGGACCCUGCUCUGAGCUAUCAGGAAGGACUGAGGGGUAGAGGGGUGGGACCUUCAGCACCAGCACCCAUGAACGGCCCUAGUGUCCUCCAACCUGUCAUCCACGUCUAGUCAGGGACCAGUGCCCGGUGCUUCCAUCAUUGUAAUGCCUCUUACUUGGGCAUCUCUCCUGACUCGCUCCAGAAGGCACUGUUUCCUGCAGGUUACUUUGGUCCCAUGAGCCUGGGUUCUAUCACCUGGAGUCCCAUCUCCUGUCCCAUACAGUCCACAAUCUUUAGCCUGGCAUUCAAGGCCUGCCACACUCCAUUCCCAGUCUGCCUUUUCAGCAUGCACUCAGCCCAGCCAAGUGACUGCCGACCUGCUUUUCUGCUCCUUCACUACUAACUGUUGAGACGUGUUCCAUCAGAAACAUGGGCUCCCCUGGCCGGGCGUGGUGGCUCAUGCCUGUAAUCCUAGAAUUUUGGGAGGUUGAGCUUCCACUUCACCAUCGGAUGUUUGCCACUCAGACUGAGGGGGAGCUCAGAGUGACCCAAAUUCUCAAAGAAAAGUUUCCACGAGCUACAGCUAUAAAAGUCACUGACAUUUCAGGCACUAAAAGAAGAAAUCAAAGAGAUGCAUGGAUUGCGGAUAUUUACCUCUGUCCCCAAACGCUGACCACGCCCUGGCUGCAUAGAUGCUGCUGCUUAAGACCUUGGAUGAACUUCACUGACAUCAUUCUUCCCUAAGCAGUCACCAAAAAAUUUAUAUAUUUUGCUCAUAUACAUUUCCAUAUUAUAAUUAUAGAAGAUGUAUAAUCUAUUUAGAUGUUAAUUAAAGGAAACAAACAACUGAA
Molecule: long non-coding RNA, 1436 nt
Filed under: Homo sapiens (human)
Lineage: Eukaryota; Metazoa; Chordata; Mammalia; Primates; Hominidae
Description: non-protein coding lnc-MOB1A-1:1
Source: RNAcentral